UUUUUUCUAGUGUUUGAGUUUUUGGUUUUGCAUGUAGUGGCCUCUUUUUGGUUCCCUGUUUUGUUUAUUGUUAAUAGUAAAGUCUUUGUUUAAACUUUCCUUUUGUUUUUUCCACUCCGCGCCUGGGUCCUACCCUCCCGUACGUGACAAAAUUGUCUCUAAAAUAUCUGACCUGCCCCCCAACAAGUGUUUCCCCCAAGCACAUUUUUAGCAUAGUAGGCGAUGUUGUACCUUCCCAUCACUCUAGACUGAUCCUAGCUCAUGUGCAGGAGCAUGCCUUUACAAAACACAACUUGGGGAAGUUUGAGUAAGUAAAAUCAUAGCUGAAAAUGCAUUCCACUCAGGGAAGCCUUUUGGUUGUUUUCUUUAAUUUAUCUGAGCUUAUGCAAAUCAAACAUACAGGUAAUGUGGUGCUUCAAUAGAGAGGGGAGAAAAAGUAUUAACAAACCAAAAACAAAAUAUUUUAGCCUUACAUUCUGUAGUUCAUUUCAUUAGGAGCUCAUAGUAUACAGUUGUUCAUAAUGAAGAUAAGGAACUAUGUUUUGAAUUAUAUAAGCAUUUUCAGUUUAUAAUUGACUUUGUUGUCCCUCAGGUAGGGGUGGUGGUUUGCUUCAUGCAGUAUUUACUGUUAAUUUCAGGGUAGGGAUGAGUAACUGUUUUGAUUUAUUAGAACAUUUGCCUAUGUUUGAAAAUUGAUUUGACUGUUUAUCUCUGUUAUCUUUUAGUGUAAUAAAAGUGAACAUCAAACAUAUAUGUCAUUGUUAAGCACAGCUUUAAAAAGCAAAUUACCUGUUGAUGAACUGAUGUAUUAUUGAUGUCAUUGUAAAACCCUGCUUAAUGCUUUAAUAUCUCAACAAUAGCAAUGCAAGUAAUUGUAAAACAUGGAUUUUUGGCAUUUUAUACAGCUUUGGGUUAAACUCUGCAAACUCCAAGUUUUAGCCUCCCCACUUCUGUUUUUCUUUUACCCAGAUAUAAAUACAAAUAAUUUUGUUGGUUGAACAAAUACAGAUACAAAUACAAACAGUGGCAUCUCCCUUCACCCCUAGAAAAGCAAUAGGCCCACUUUAUAAUGUCAAGUUAUCGAGUGGUGGGCCAUCGGCUUUCCAACUCAGUUCUGAAGCUGUAAGCAACUAUCUCACAAAAUUUGGAUGCUGCAAUCCAACUGGGAAAAACUGAUGGAAAUGCAAAGAGAAAGCUAUUGCAAAUGGAAUGCCAUUAGCCGAUACAUUUCCAGAGCAUUUCUCAGUGAGGGAGAUAUGAUUGACUAUUUAUUGUCUUUCUCAGAAAGUGCUAAAUUAAACGCAAUUCUAAAAACCACCACAUCUCACCACAUAUAUAGGCCAUUUUCGUUUCAUCUCCAACACCAGGGAGACGAAAGCCAUACAUCCUGUUCCUCUCUUCAGCACAGAGCGGAGAGAAAGGAAUCCAGCCCUCCUCAUUGCAGAGGAGAGGAGUCCCAUGUUUCAAUUUUGUCCACUCAUCGCCAGCCUGUCUCGUUUUGACCCUGAUUCUUCGCCUGCCGUUUAUAUACCUUUGCCUCGUUCUGCCCUGUACACCGACCUUCGCCUGUUACUGGACUACGGACCUGCUGCUGCCCCUUUCGUACUGUUGCUCCGCUGCUUGAUUUCCUGGUUUACGAACUUAACCUGGAUUUUGAUUACGAGACCUAUUAUUCCCUUUUGUACUGUGCGUCGCCGAUUGAUUUCCUGGAUCACGAACUGUUGCCCGUUAAACUGGGUGUGCUUAUAAUGAAUCGGAUAUUUAUUUCGGGGAUAACUUCAGUUUCCGUCUGCAUUUGGGUCCUGUACUCUCCAGUUCACCUCAGCUACCUUUCCUGCAGUUUCAAUUAGGCUACUUCAUGGAAAAUUUUAUAUAAAUAUUAGCAGAAUGUGUUCACUACCCAGAUCCAUUUCCUCAUAACUUUUUAUGAUUUGUAAUACUAAAUUCUAUUAUUACCUAUACUGUCUUAAUUUGUCAAUACAAGAAUUAAAUAAAAUAUUAUUAGAUA
Anguilla anguilla (European eel) is the source of this 2008-nucleotide long non-coding RNA. RefSeq lists it as uncharacterized. Lineage: Eukaryota; Metazoa; Chordata; Actinopteri; Anguilliformes; Anguillidae. The transcript has 2 exons. The record is from RefSeq and is a predicted model, not a curated record.